UUGGAGGGCAAGUCUGGUGCCAGCAGCCGCGGUAAUUCCAGCUCCAAUAGCGUAUAUUAAAGUUGUUGCAGUUAAGAAGCUCGUAGUUGAACUUCGGGGUUCACCCAUUGGUCAGGCUUAAUUGUCUGUACUGGUGAGAUGAGUCUCUACCUUCUGAGGAACUUUCAUGCCAUUUAUUUGGUGUGAUUGGAAAUCAGGACUGUUACUUUGAAAAAAUUAGAGUGUUUAAAGCAGGCUAACGUCUGAAUACAUUAGCAUGGAAUAAUGAAAUAGGACGGAUUGAUCCUAUUUCGUUGGUUUCUAGGAUCACCGUAAUGAUUAAUAGGGAUAGUUGGGGGCAUUAGUAUUCAAUUGUCAGAGGUGAAAUUCUUGGAUUUAUUGAAGACUAACUACUGCGAAAGCAGUUGCCAAGGAUGUUUUCAUUAAUCAAGAACGAAAGUUAGGGGAUCGAAGACGAUCAGAUACCGUCGUAGUCUUAACCAUAAACUAUGCCGACUAGGGAUCGGACGCAGUUAAUUUUAUAAUGACGUGUUCGGCACCCUAUGGGAAACCAAAG
This 556-nucleotide ribosomal RNA is filed under the name uncultured Glomus. RNAcentral describes it as "SSU rRNA". It matches the Rfam family "Eukaryotic small subunit ribosomal RNA", at positions 548 to 1103 of the family's 1831-position model. Lineage: Eukaryota; Fungi; Glomeromycota; Glomeromycetes; Glomerales; Glomeraceae. The record is from RNAcentral.